CAAAUAUAUAAAAAUAUUUUUUUCAGGCUUUGGACAGCAUGCAACACUGGAGUAUCCUACCUGAGAGAAGUAAAACAAUGUAAAUCCUAAAAUAAGACUGAUUUUAUCCUUUGAAGCACUUUUCAGGCCUCAACAUAGAGAGAGGCAAUCUAAGCAGAGAAUGCUAGCCUCACUAAUUUGAGAAAACAAAGAUAAAGUGUUUGAAGGCUAAGAUGAUGUAUGUAGCGCAACACCAGAAGGGAGGGAUAUAUGCUGAGAAAAAGCUCUAGAAAUCUGCCUAAGGGUUACAGUGCCACAUAUAUAUUGAAUGAAAGUUUAUAAUGACAGGCAAGGUGUGACUGGGGACCUGUGAGCUAAAUGGGCCCUACAGCUCAUACAGGGCUGGUGGAUAUUUAAUUUCUAGUGGACCAAGGUGGAAACAUGUAGUUUAAUGCUUGUAACACCUAAUGAUACCAGAGGUUCACACUCUGGUAAGUAGGGCUAACCUACUCAAAGGCAAAGGCUACCCUGGGCCUGCUCUAUUAAAUCUCACAAAUGAGGCUUGAUGCGAUGAAGAUAAUCUACAAGUAGUUUAACACCUUCUUAAAAUGAAUUUCAACACUGUCUACACAGAGAAAACAGAACCAAGAUACUCAUCAAUGUAAUAUUAACAAUGUCCCAUAUCUAAUAAAAAAUUACUAGACAUUCAAAGAAACAGUAAAGUAUGAUCAUUAGUUACAAAAUAAUUAGUUAAUAGAAUAGAUCCCAAAUGGC
Molecule: long non-coding RNA, 753 nt
Filed under: Homo sapiens (human)
Lineage: Eukaryota; Metazoa; Chordata; Mammalia; Primates; Hominidae
Description: HSALNT0108757
Source: RNAcentral